Phragmites australis (common reed) is the source of this 139-nucleotide small nucleolar RNA. RefSeq annotates it as small nucleolar RNA Z247. The record is from RefSeq and is a predicted model, not a curated record. Lineage: Eukaryota; Viridiplantae; Streptophyta; Magnoliopsida; Poales; Poaceae. The transcript has a single exon.
CCAUUGGAGGAUGAAGAACUAAUAGCUUACAUGCUACGCGGCCUUGGAUCUGAAUAUGAUCCUUUGGUGAUGAGUAUCACCACACGCACUGACACUAUCAACAUUAGUGAUGUAUAUGCACACAUGAUGAGUUAUGAGC